GGAAAGGUGGCAGAGUGGUCGAAUGCGCCGGACUCGAAAUCCGGUGUACCCUUCUCGGGUACCGUGAGUUCGAAUCUCACCCUUUCCGCCA
Molecule: transfer RNA, 91 nt
Rfam family: tRNA
About the family: Transfer RNA (tRNA) molecules are approximately 80 nucleotides in length. Their secondary structure includes four short double-helical elements and three loops (D, anti-codon, and T loops). Further hydrogen bonds mediate the characteristic L-shaped molecular structure. tRNAs have two regions of fundamental functional importance: the anti-codon, which is responsible for specific mRNA codon recognition, and the 3' end, to which the tRNAs corresponding amino acid is attached (by aminoacyl-tRNA synthetases). tRNAs cope with the degeneracy of the genetic code in two manners: having more than one tRNA (with a specific anti-codon) for a particular amino acid; and 'wobble' base-pairing, i.e. permitting non-standard base-pairing at the 3rd anti-codon position.